GCCCGUAUGGCCAAGUGGUAAGGCACUGCACUUGUAAGCUUGUGCUCGUUUUAGAACGCAUUCCUGACAUGCAGCGAUCCCCUGUUCGACCCGGGGUGCGGGCA
Molecule: non-coding RNA, 104 nt
Organism: Naganishia onofrii
Lineage: Eukaryota; Fungi; Basidiomycota; Tremellomycetes; Filobasidiales; Filobasidiaceae
Source: the annotation of a GenBank genome assembly